GACGAACGCUGGCGGCGUGCCUAACACAUGCAAGUCGAGCGGAGAUACAUUGAAGAGCAAUCAGAUAUGUAUCUUAGCGGCGGACGGGUGAGUAACGCGUGGGCAACCUGCCUCAUACUGGGGGAUAACACAGGGAAACUUGUGCUAAUACCGCAUAAUAUCAUUAUAGGGCAUCCUGUGAUGAUCAAAGGAGCAAUCCGGUGUGAGAUGGGCCCGCGUCCAAUUAGCUAGUUGGUGGGGUAACGGCCCACCAAGGCGACGAUUGGUAGCCGAACUGAGAGGUUGAUCGGCCACAUUGGGACUGAGACACGGCCCAGACUCCUACGGGAGGCAGCAGUGGGGAAUAUUGCGCAAUGGGGGAAACCCUGACGCAGCAACGCCGCGUGAAGGAUGAAGGUCUUCGGAUUGUAAACUUCUUUGAUGGAGGGACGAACACAAUGACGGUACCUACAAAACAACGCCACGGCUAACUACGUGCCAGCACGCC
RNAcentral lists this ribosomal RNA (487 nucleotides) under uncultured bacterium. RNAcentral's name for it is "bacterial SSU rRNA". It matches the Rfam family "Bacterial small subunit ribosomal RNA", at positions 28 to 516 of the family's 1533-position model. The record is from RNAcentral.